RNAcentral lists this unclassified non-coding RNA (355 nucleotides) under soil metagenome. RNAcentral's name for it is "partial contains 5.8S ribosomal RNA, internal transcribed spacer 2, and large subunit ribosomal RNA". The stretch from base 1 to 120 matches the Rfam family "5.8S ribosomal RNA", at positions 35 to 154 of the family's 154-position model. The record is from RNAcentral.
GAUGAAGAACGUAGUGAAAUGCGAUAAGUAAUGUGAAUUGCAGAAUUCAGUGAAUCAUCGAAUCUUUGAACGCACAUUGCGCCCGCUAGUAUUCUGGCGGGCAUGCCUGUCUGAGCGUCAUUUCAACCCUCGCCCCCGGCUUUUGCUGGGAGCGGUGUUGGGGAUCGGCCGCCCGUCACUGGGAGGCCGGCCCCGAAAUAGAGUGGCGACCACGCCGUGUGCUCCUCUGCGUAGUAGUAAAUCACCUCGCAGGCGGACAGCGGUGCGGCCUGCCGUAAAACCCCCAACUCUUUCUGGUUGACCUCAGAUCAGGUAGGAAUACCCGCUGAACUUAAGCAUAUCAAUAAGCGGAGGA